This 608-nucleotide ribosomal RNA is filed under the name uncultured Acidaminococcus sp. RNAcentral describes it as "bacterial SSU rRNA". It matches the Rfam family "Bacterial small subunit ribosomal RNA", at positions 62 to 648 of the family's 1533-position model. The record is from RNAcentral. Lineage: Bacteria; Bacillati; Bacillota; Negativicutes; Acidaminococcales; Acidaminococcaceae.
UCGGACGGUCGAAUUUAUUUCGGUGAAUUCUUAGUGGCGAACGGGUGAGUAACGCGUAGGCAACCUGCCCUUUGGAUGGGGACAACAUUCCGAAAGGAGUGCUAAUACCGAAUGUGAUCCAUUUCUCGCAUGAGAGAUGGAUGAAAGAUGGCCUCUAUUUAUAAGCUAUCGCCAAAGGAUGGGCCUGCGUCUGAUUGUUAGUUGGUGGGGUAACGGGUCACCAAUACGAUGAUCAGUAUCCGGGCUGAGAGGAUGAAGGGCGACAUUGGGACUGAGACACGGCCCAAACUCCUACGGGAGGCAGCAGUGGGGAAUCUUCCGCAAUGGACGAAAGUCUGACGGAGCAACGCCGCGUGAGUGAUGAAGGUUUUCGGACUGUAAAACUCUGUUGUCAGGGACGAAGGUGCGAUCUGCGAAUAGUUGAUCGUAUUGACGGUACCUGACGAGGAAGCCACGGCUAACUACGUGCCAGCAGCCGCGGUAAUACGUAGGUGGCAAGCGUUGUCCGGAAUUAUUGGGCGUAAAGAGCAUGUAGGUGGGCUUUUAAGUCCGAUGUGAAAAUGCGGGGCUCAACCCCGUAUGGCAUUGGAUACUGGAAGUCUUGAGUG